This 246-nucleotide ribosomal RNA is filed under the name Staphylococcus aureus. RNAcentral's name for it is "partial 23S ribosomal RNA". It matches the Rfam family "Bacterial large subunit ribosomal RNA", at positions 2606 to 2853 of the family's 2925-position model. Lineage: Bacteria; Bacillati; Bacillota; Bacilli; Caryophanales; Staphylococcaceae. The record is from RNAcentral.
UGUGUUCAGUACGUCGUGAGACAGUUCGGUCCCUAUCCGUCGUGUGCGUAGGAAAUUUGAGAGGAGCUGUCAUUAGUACGAGAGGACCGGGAUGGACAUACCUCUGGUGUACCAGUUGUCGUGCCAAAGGCAUAGCUGGGUAGCUAUGUGUGGACGGGAUAAGUGCUGAAAGCAUCUAAGCUUGAAGCCCCCCUCAAGAUGAGAUUUCCCAACUUCGGUUAUAAGAUCCCUCAAAGAUGAUGAGGU